GGGGGCGUAACGGGUUCGACGGGGAUAGUGAGACUGGAUAAGCGGGCAGAGGCCCCGACCUCUUGAAAACGGGAACCUUUAUAAAUUUAACUGAGAACGAUAAUCUCACUCUGGCUGCUGCUUAAUUAGCAGCCCAUCCGCCCCGGAGGGGCCACGGGCCGGUGUGCGGGUGUCAUUUCAGUGGCGAACGUGCGUGCGCAAAGCUUUGCGCGCACCAUGCAUCAUGAAGCUACCAAGCCAUGCAGUGUGACGGUUCACGGCAUGGCAAGGGAAUGUAAAUAACCGUCUGCGCCCGGAGAAAGUCCAGAGGAUCUGUUUUCGGACGGGGGUUCAACUCCCCCCGCCUCCACCA
This 352-nucleotide transfer-messenger RNA is filed under the name Oscillospiraceae. Its description in RNAcentral is "RUG11142 sp902766215 Standard tmRNA". It matches the Rfam family "transfer-messenger RNA". From Rfam's summary of the family: Bacterial tmRNA, also known as 10Sa RNA or SsrA, is named for its dual tRNA and mRNA-like properties. Its role is to liberate the mRNA from a stalled ribosome. Lineage: Bacteria; Bacillati; Bacillota; Clostridia; Eubacteriales. RNAcentral also lists the same sequence under 1 other name. The record is from RNAcentral.